Molecule: ribosomal RNA, 543 nt
Filed under: Srilankamys ohiensis (Phillip's Srilankamys)
Lineage: Eukaryota; Metazoa; Chordata; Mammalia; Rodentia; Muridae
Description: partial 16S ribosomal RNA
Rfam family: Bacterial large subunit ribosomal RNA
Source: RNAcentral
UAUUAGAGGCAUUGCCUGCCCAGUGACGAAAGUUAAACGGCCGCGGUAUUCUGACCGUGCAAAGGUAGCAUAAUCACUUGUUCCUUAAUUAGGGACUAGAAUGAAUGGCUAAACGAGGGUUCAACUGUCUCUUACUUUCAAUCAGUGAAAUUGCCCUUCCAGUGAAGAGGCUGGAAUAACAAGAUAAGACGAGAAGACCCUAUGGAGCUUCAAUUUAAUAGUUUAAUUUAUAAUAAAAUCAACCUAAUGGCCUAAAACAAAAUAAAUGUAAACUAAAAAUUUCGGUUGGGGUGACCUCGGAGAAUAAAAAAUCCUCCGAAUGAUUUUAACCAAGACCCACAAGUCAAAGUAACACUAGUAUCUUAUUGACCCAAUUAUUGAUCAACGGACCAAGUUACCCUAGGGAUAACAGCGCAAUCCUAUUCAAGAGUUCAUAUCGACAAUUAGGGUUUACGACCUCGAUGUUGGAUCAGGACAUCCCAAUGGUGCAGAAGCUAUUAAUGGUUCGUUUGUUCAACGAUUAAAGUCCUACGUGAUCUGAGU